This is a non-coding RNA of Plutella xylostella (diamondback moth), 1461 nucleotides long. The record is from RefSeq and is a predicted model, not a curated record. Lineage: Eukaryota; Metazoa; Arthropoda; Insecta; Lepidoptera; Plutellidae.
UACAUUGACCUGGGGCGCGAUUCACAUCUCAACCGAAAUAUUUGUAAAGCGAUACGAACGAGUUACGAGAUGAAAUCCGCAAUGUUUAAAAACGCGAUUCAUAGCACACAUACUUUGAUCUCGUUUUCAUAUCGCUAGUUCGUAUUUGGAUGGCUUGAGUGAAAUGAAUGAAACUAUAUUUUUUUUAAUUGCUAUGCAAAAAUUAUAAAUACUACCACUAAUUGUUUUAAAUAAUUUUGUUCCUACAAUAUAUUUUGUUGGAAUUAGUGUCGAUAGCAAGUAUCAAGAAACAGCUUUUUAAUUCAACGUUGAAGAAAUUCAUAACCUGUGGCACUUUUGACAGCCGCCAUGUUUUCUCCAUAAAAAACAUUGAUUUUCUUUGCUCAUUUUCGUGUCAACGUAGUUUUUUUGGAAAAUAAGAAGAAUGGAAGUUUAACUUACUUAGAGAAAUACGACUGAGACAUAAACACAAGCAGCAGCCGAUGUGCUUGAGUAGCAGAAGGAGCAACUGCGUUGUGAGAGGGCCACGGCUUCAACCCUCACAAUGAUAGCUGAUUAGCUGAAGUAAUGAACAGACAGGCUGCAGUCAAUGAGAGGCUUCUUGAGGAGGUGUUCCUCAUAUGGAAAUCGUAGGUUAUUCCUAAAUGUUUGGCUAAAUAAUAGAAUAGAAUUUAACUUCAUUGUUACCCCAAUAAUGUCUUAGGAAAACUGGUGUUGAAUAUUUAUGUUACAGCGUAGUUUUGUUUAGUAUCUGUCUGUAAUUUUUUAGAACAAUAUCAUACUGAACUUUUCAUUUUGUCUUUUCUAGGCUAAUGAAAGGAACAAUCAAGACCAGACUUAAAGUAAAAUAAUACGUAUACAUAAUUUAUAUCGGAAUAAGUACAAAAUAUUUUUGUAGGUAUAUGUUUUAACUAUAAAUUGAAAAUCCACAGAUUUUAGCGGCGACGCAGUUGCGCGACCAGUGAAGCUCUGGCUCCGCGACCGGCGUGGAGCGCGCGGUCAGCGCGGCGCUGCUGCGGCUGCUGCGCGGGAGGAUCCCGUCCCUGCGCAUGCGCCUGGCCUUCAAUGACCUCACGCCUCUCUUCUUCCUCUUCUUCAUGCGUCAAUUCAAACAGAGGAGCACCUGUGAUUACUGAUUACCUAAGUUCCUAUAUACAAUAAUAGUUUAAUAAUUGUUAACAAAAUAUUGUAUAUAUAAGUAUUAAUAAUUACUUAUACAAAAGGCUAAAAGCAUUUUGUACCAGCCAACCUAUAGGAGAGAAUAUGAGAAAAAUAAUAAGACUUUAAUCUUUGAUUGCCAUUAUCUGUAGCUUUAUUAAGUGGUAAAGGGACCUAAUUACUACCUAUAUUUUUUUAGUAUUUGUGAUAAUUCAUAGAAUUUAUUAGUUCUAUCAAUAAAUAAAAUAUACAUGCAUUACAAUGUGUUUAAUUCAUUAACUUACAAUUUGCACACUGAGGGAA